GGACCCGCACAAGCGGUGGAUGAUGUGGAUUAAUUCGAUGCAACGCGAAAAACCUUACCUACCCUUGACAUGCCAGGAAUCCCGCUGAGAGGUGGGAGUGCCCGAAAGAGAGCCUGGACACAGGUGCUGCAUGGCUGUCGUCAGCUCGUGUCGUGAGAUGUUGGGUUAAGUCCCGCAACGAGCGCAACCCUUGUCAUUAGUUGCCAUCAUUUAGUUGGGCACUCUAAUGAGACUGCCGGUGACAAACCGGAGGAAGGUGGGGAUGACGUCAAGUCCUCAUGGCCCUUAUGGGUAGGGCUUCACACGUCAUACAAUGGUCGGUACAGAGGGUUGCCAAGCCGCGAGGUGGAGCCAAUCCCAGAAAGCCGAUCGUAGUCCGGAUCGGAGUCUGCAACUCGACUCCGUGAAGUCGGAAUCGCUAGUAAUCGUGGAUCAGCAUGCCACGGUGAAUACGUUCCCGGGUCUUGUACACACCGCCCGUCACACCAUGGGAGUGGGUUUCACCAGAAGUAGGUAGCCUAACCGCAAGGGGGGCGCUUACCACGGUGGGAUUCAUGACUGGGGUGAAGUCGUAACAAGGUAGCCGUAGGGGAACCUGCGGCU
Molecule: ribosomal RNA, 603 nt
Filed under: uncultured Rhodocyclaceae bacterium
Lineage: Bacteria; Pseudomonadati; Pseudomonadota; Betaproteobacteria; Rhodocyclales; Rhodocyclaceae
Description: bacterial SSU rRNA
Rfam family: Bacterial small subunit ribosomal RNA
Source: RNAcentral